This 23-nucleotide non-coding RNA is filed under the name Cricetulus griseus (Chinese hamster). The record is from RNAcentral. Lineage: Eukaryota; Metazoa; Chordata; Mammalia; Rodentia; Cricetidae.
AUUGGUACGUCUGUAGACCAAGA